This 290-nucleotide small RNA is filed under the name Actinopolyspora biskrensis. RNAcentral describes it as "5' ureB small RNA". It matches the Rfam family "5' ureB small RNA". Lineage: Bacteria; Bacillati; Actinomycetota; Actinomycetes; Actinopolysporales; Actinopolysporaceae. The record is from RNAcentral.
CGGUCUCGACCUCCUGGGGGCAGAUGAAGUGCACGUGGCAGUCGAUGCCGCCCGCGGUGAGGAUCUUCCCGUUCCCGGCGAUUAUCUCGGUGGACGGCCCGAUCACCAUUCCGGGGUCCACCCCGUCGGCGGUGUCCGGAUUGCCGGACUUCCCUAUUCCGGUGAUCCUGCCGUCCCGCAGCGCCACGUCCGCCUUGACCACUCCCCAGUGGUCCAGGACCACGGCCCCGGUUAUGACCGUGUCGGGCGCUCCCUCGGCGCGCGUGGCCACCGACUGGCCCAUCGACUCG